GAACUGCGAUACGUAGUGCGAUAUGCAGAACUCACUGAAUCAUCAAGAUUUUGAAUGCGAAUUGCACUCUGGAGCUUGCUUCAGAGUAUGCCUCUUUGAGUAUCGGUUUCAAUCAAUCAACCUCCUUAAUUGGUGGUUGGAGAAUGAGUGUCACUCUUGAUUAUUCAAGUGUGUCACUUUAAAUACUCUACAUACAUACUAGCCAAUACCACUUGGAAGUGCAGAUACACAUCUACACUAACAAUGGUAAUAAGAGCUAGAAGGACAUUAUAUUCAUUCGAUCUCAAAUGAGGUAAGACUACCCGCUGAACUUAA
This 315-nucleotide unclassified non-coding RNA is filed under the name uncultured fungus. RNAcentral describes it as "sequence contains ITS1". The stretch from base 1 to 105 matches the Rfam family "5.8S ribosomal RNA", at positions 50 to 154 of the family's 154-position model. Lineage: Eukaryota; Fungi. The record is from RNAcentral.